UAAUAACACUACAGGAAACAG
This 21-nucleotide unclassified non-coding RNA is filed under the name Dictyostelium discoideum. Lineage: Eukaryota; Evosea; Eumycetozoa; Dictyosteliales; Dictyosteliaceae. The record is from RNAcentral.